AUCGCUUCUCGGCCUUUUGGCUAAGAUCAAGUGUAGUAUCUGUUCUUAUCAGUUUAAUAUCUGAUACGUCCUCUAUCCGAGGACAAUAUAUUAAAUGGAUUUUUGGAAGUAGGAGUUGGAAUAGGAGCUUGCUCCGUCCACUCCACGCAUCUACCUGGUAUUGCAGUACCUCCAGGAACGGUGCACCCCCU
This 191-nucleotide small nuclear RNA is filed under the name Peromyscus maniculatus bairdii (prairie deer mouse). Its description in RNAcentral is "U2 spliceosomal RNA (ENSPEMG00000027906.1)". It matches the Rfam family "U2 spliceosomal RNA". Rfam says of the family: U2 is a small nuclear RNA (snRNA) component of the spliceosome (involved in pre-mRNA splicing). Complementary binding between U2 snRNA (in an area lying towards the 5' end but 3' to hairpin I) and the branchpoint sequence (BPS) of the intron results the bulging out of an unpaired adenosine, on the BPS, which initiates a nucleophilic attack at the intronic 5' splice site, thus starting the first of two transesterification reactions that mediate splicing. The record is from RNAcentral. Lineage: Eukaryota; Metazoa; Chordata; Mammalia; Rodentia; Cricetidae.